UACGAAGGGGGCUAGCGUUGCUCGGAUUCACUGGGCGUAAAGGGUGCGUAGGUGGUUAGGUAAGUCCGAUGUGAAAUCUCCAGGCUCAACCUGGAAAUGGCAUUGGAUACUAUUUAGCUUGAGGAGUGGAGGGGGGACUGGAAUUCUCGGUGUAGCAGUGAAAUGCGUAGAUAUCGAGAGGAACACCAGUGGCGAAGGCGAGUCCCUGGACACUUCCUGACACUGAGGCACGAAAGCUAGGGGAGCAAACAGG
RNAcentral lists this ribosomal RNA (253 nucleotides) under uncultured bacterium. RNAcentral describes it as "partial 16S ribosomal RNA". It matches the Rfam family "Bacterial small subunit ribosomal RNA", at positions 524 to 776 of the family's 1533-position model. The record is from RNAcentral.